UACGUAGGGUGCAAGCGUUAAUCGGAAUUACUGGGCGUAAAGCGUGCGCAGGCGGUGAUGUAAGACAGUUGUGAAAUCCCCGGGCUCAACCUGGGAACUGCAUCUGUGACUGCAUCGCUGGAGUGCGGCAGAGGGGGAUGGAAUUCCGCGUGUAGCAGUGAAAUGCGUAGAUAUGCGGAGGAACACCGAUGGCGAAGGCAGCCUUCUGGGCCAACACUGACGCUCAUGCACGAAAGCGUGGGGAGCAAACAGG
Molecule: ribosomal RNA, 253 nt
Filed under: uncultured bacterium
Lineage: Bacteria
Description: partial 16S ribosomal RNA
Rfam family: Bacterial small subunit ribosomal RNA
Source: RNAcentral